Molecule: transfer RNA, 69 nt
Filed under: Joturus pichardi (bobo mullet)
Lineage: Eukaryota; Metazoa; Chordata; Actinopteri; Mugiliformes; Mugilidae
Description: tRNA-Met
Rfam family: tRNA
About the family: Transfer RNA (tRNA) molecules are approximately 80 nucleotides in length. Their secondary structure includes four short double-helical elements and three loops (D, anti-codon, and T loops).
Source: RNAcentral
AGUAAAGUCAGCUAAUUAAGCUCUUGGGCCCAUACCCCAAAUAUGUCGGUUAAACUCCUUCCUUCACUA